UAGUCCGAAGCACGAGCUUCGGUAUAACUAUAAAAACUGAAAUUCCUCUUUGACGGGCCAAUAAUCUUAUUGGCCAUUUUUUU
This is a non-coding RNA of Kluyvera intermedia, 83 nucleotides long. The record is from Rfam. NCBI's taxonomy places the organism in Bacteria, Pseudomonadati, Pseudomonadota, Gammaproteobacteria, Enterobacterales, Enterobacteriaceae.